GAUGAACGCUGGCGGCGUGCCUAAUACAUGCAAGUCGAGCGAACAGACGAGGAGCUUGCUCCUCUGACGUUAGCGGCGGACGGGUGAGUAACACGUGGAUAACCUACCUAUAAGACUGGGAUAACUUCGGGAAACCGGAGCUAAUACCGGAUAAUAUAUUGAACCGCAUGGUUCAAUAGUGAAAGACGGUUUUGCUGUCACUUAUAGAUGGAUCCGCGCCGCAUUAGCUAGUUGGUAAGGUAACGGCUUACCAAGGCGACGAUGCGUAGCCGACCUGAGAGGGGGAUCGGCCACACUGGAACUGAGACACGGUCCAGACGCCUACGGGAGGCAGCAGUAGGGAACCUUCCGCAAUGGGCGAAAGCCUGACGGAGCAACGCCGCGUGAGUGAUGAAGGUCUUCGGAUCGUAAAACUCUGUUAUUAGGGAAGAACAAAUGUGUAAGUAACUAUGCACGUCUUGACGGUACCUAAUCAGAAAGCCACGGCUAACUACGUG
RNAcentral lists this ribosomal RNA (497 nucleotides) under uncultured bacterium. RNAcentral describes it as "partial 16S ribosomal RNA". It matches the Rfam family "Bacterial small subunit ribosomal RNA", at positions 28 to 507 of the family's 1533-position model. The record is from RNAcentral.